AUGCAUCUAUGAUGAGAGUUUGAUCCUGGCUCAGGAUGAACGUUGGCGGCGUGCCUAACACAUGCAAGUCGAACGGGAAGCCGACUUCGGUCGGCAGAGAGUGGCGCACGGGUGCGUAACACGUAGCUCACCUGGCCCGAAGCGCGGGAUAACGCACCGAAAGGUGUGCUAAAACCGCAUAAGCUCACGAUCUGUAGAGGGUUGUGAGAAAAACGAUUAGUGCUUCGGGAUGGGGCUGCGGCCCAUCAGCUAGUUGGUGCGGUAACGGCGUACCAAGGCGACGACGGGUAGGGGGCCUGAGAGGGUGGCCCCCCACACUGGGACUGAGACACGGCCCAGACUCCUACGGGAGGCAGCAGUGAGGGAUAUUGCACAAUGGGCGCAAGCCUGAUGCAGCGACGCCGCGUGGGUGAUGAAGGUCUUCGGAUCGUAAAACCCUUUUCUGCGUGACGAUGAUGACGGUAGCGCAGGAAUAAGUGUCGGCUAACUACGUGCCAGCAGCCGCGGUAAAACGUAGGACGCAAACGUUAUCCGGAAUUACUGGGCGUAAAGGGCGCGCAGGCGGUUGGAUAAGUGAGGCAUGAAAGCCCCAUGGCUAAACCUGGGGAGGUUGUCUGAGACUGUCUGACUAGAGUCCGAUAGAGGGGUGUAGAAUUCCGCGUGUAGUGGUGAAAUGCGUAGAGAUGCGGAGGAAUACCAGAGGCGAAGGCGGCACCCUGGAUCGGAACUGACGCUGAGGCGCGAAAGCAUGGGUAGCGAACGGGAUUAGAAACCCCGGUAGUCCAUGCCGUAAACGAUGUGUACUCGAUGUUCGUCCUACAUUGUAGGAUGAGUGUCUAAGCAAACGCGGUAAGUACACCGCCUGGGGAGUACGGUCGCAAGGCUAAAACUCAAAGGAAUUGACGGGGGCCCGCACAAGCAGCGGAGCGUGUGGUUUAAUUCGAGGUUACGCGAAGAACCUUACCUGGACUUGACAUAAUGGUGGUAGGGAGGCGAAAGCUGACCGACCUUCGGGAGCCAUUACAGGUGCUGCAUGGCUGUCGUCAGCUCGUGUCGUGAGAUGUUCGGUUAAGUCCGAAAACGAGCGCAACCCUCGGCGUGUGUUACAGGUGUCACACGCGACUGCCCGUGACAAAUGGGAGGAAGGUGGGGAUGACGUCAAGUCAGCAUGGCCUUUAUGUUCAGGGCUACACACACGCUACAAUGGGCGGUACAAUGGGUCGCGAAGCCGCGAGGCGGAGCCAAUCCUAAAAAGCCGUUCGUAGUUCGGAUUGCAGGCUGCAACUCGCCUGCAUGAAGUCGGAGUUGCUAGUAACCGCAGGUCAGCCACACUGCGGUGAAUACGUUCCCGGGCCUUGUACACACCGCCCGUCACGUCAUGGGAGCUGGUCACGCCUGAAGUCGGGAAGGCAACCGCAAGGAACCUACCGCCGAGGGCAGGGCCGGUGACUGGGACGAAGUCGUAACAAGGUAGCUGUAGCGGAAGCUGCGGCUGGAUCACCUCCUUAAUCGGAUCCCGGGCCCGUCGACUGCAGAGGCCUGCAUGCAAGCUUCCUGUAUAGUGACGACGU
RNAcentral lists this ribosomal RNA (1571 nucleotides) under uncultured bacterium. Its description in RNAcentral is "partial 16S ribosomal RNA". It matches the Rfam family "Bacterial small subunit ribosomal RNA". The record is from RNAcentral.